RNAcentral lists this transfer RNA (94 nucleotides) under Chelydra serpentina (North American snapping turtle). Its description in RNAcentral is "tRNA-Ile". It matches the Rfam family "tRNA". From Rfam's summary of the family: Transfer RNA (tRNA) molecules are approximately 80 nucleotides in length. Their secondary structure includes four short double-helical elements and three loops (D, anti-codon, and T loops). Further hydrogen bonds mediate the characteristic L-shaped molecular structure. tRNAs have two regions of fundamental functional importance: the anti-codon, which is responsible for specific mRNA codon recognition, and the 3' end, to which the tRNAs corresponding amino acid is attached (by aminoacyl-tRNA synthetases). tRNAs cope with the degeneracy of the genetic code in two manners: having more than one tRNA (with a specific anti-codon) for a particular amino acid; and 'wobble' base-pairing, i.e. permitting non-standard base-pairing at the 3rd anti-codon position. Lineage: Eukaryota; Metazoa; Chordata; Testudines; Chelydridae. The record is from RNAcentral.
GCUCCAGUGGCGCAAUCGGUUAGCGCGCGGUACUUAUACAGCAAUACAGAGCAAAGCAAUGCUGAGGUUGUGAGUUCGAGCCUCACCUGGAGCA